GACGAACGCUGGCGGCGUGCUUAACACAUGCAAGUCGAACGGAAAGGCCCCUUUGGUGGUACUCGAGUGGCGAACGGGUGAGUAACACGUGAGUAACCUGCCCUUGACUUCGGGAUAACUUCAGGAAACUGGGGCUAAUACCGGAUAGGAAUCCUUGCUGCAUGGUGGGGGUUGGAAAGCUUCGGCGGUUUUGGAUGGACUCGCGGCUUAUCAGCUUGUUGGUGGGGUAGUGGCUUACCAAGGCUUUGACGGGUAGCCGGCCUGAGAGGGCGACCGGCCACAUUGGGACUGAGACACGGCCCAGACUCCUACGGGAGGCAGAAGUGGGGAAGAUUGCACAAUGGGCGGAAGCCUGAUGCAGAAACGCCGCGUGCGGGAUGACGGCCUUCGGGUUGUAAACCGCUUUCAGCAGGGGCGAAGCUUGUGGUGACGGUACCUGCAGAAGAAGCACCGGCUAACUACGUG
This 465-nucleotide ribosomal RNA is filed under the name uncultured bacterium. RNAcentral's name for it is "partial 16S ribosomal RNA". It matches the Rfam family "Bacterial small subunit ribosomal RNA", at positions 28 to 507 of the family's 1533-position model. The record is from RNAcentral.